This 251-nucleotide long non-coding RNA is filed under the name Apteryx owenii (little spotted kiwi). RNAcentral's name for it is "lncRNA (ENSAOWG00000006961.1)". Lineage: Eukaryota; Metazoa; Chordata; Aves; Apterygiformes; Apterygidae. The record is from RNAcentral.
GAACUGCUUGAAGAUCAAAUAAGACAUCUUUGCUGCAAGGAUAGGGCAAAAAUUUAACUUUGUGAACUGUCCAAAACUAAAGCAUAUUCUGUUUGUUAUGUGUUCAGUCAUCCAGUCCAUCCCUGCUGCACUUAUCAGAGAAGAGAUACAAGGCAAUGUCUCCUGCCCACCUUAAAUCAUCUGGACUUUCUCAUGUCCUGCAUACACAUCAGGGUUCAGGAUGUCUGAGAAAGCAGGGGGAACAUGAAUGA